UUGUAAAGCACUAAGUGCAUUCGAUGGAUGCCUUGGAGUUAGAUGGAGAUGAAGGACGUGGCCAACUGCGAUAUGCCUCGGUGAGCUGUAAGCAAGCAUAGACCCGGGGAUUUCCGAAUGGGGAAACCCAAUCCGAGUGAUGUCGGAUUAUUACAUCUCUGAAUCUAUAGGAGAUGUAAGUCUAACGCGGAGAAUUGAAACAUCUUAGUAACCGCAGGAAAAUAAAACAAAAUGUGAUUUCCUUAGUAGCGGCGAGCGAAAGGGAAACAGCCUAAACCCCGAAUAAUCGGGGGGUCGUGGGACUCAAGCUGCGUCGCGCUGGAUAUAUAGUUGAACUACUCUGGAAAGGUAGACCAUAGAGGGUGAUAGUCCCGUAAACAAAAUGUUGAUAGCGUGACAAUUGAGCACCCAAGUAGGUCGGGACACUAGAAAUCCUGACUGAAUUUACCAGGACCAUCUGGUAAGGCUAAAUACAUUCUAACUACCGAUAGUGAACCAGUACCGUGAGGGAAAGGUGAAAAGCACCCCGGAAGGGGAGUGAAAUAGUACCUGAAAUCGAGUGCAUAAAAUCAGUCGAAGUCCGCCAUCUGGUGGAUGACGGCGUGCCUUUUGUAUAAUGAGCCGGUGAGUUACUUUUGGCAGCAGGCUAAAUCCGACACGGAUGUAACCAUAGCGAAAGCGAGUCUGAAUAAGGCGCCAUUGUUGUUAGGAGUAUACCCGAAACCGAGUGAUCUACCCAUGUCCAGGUUGAAGAUACGGUAACACGUAUUGGAGGACCGCACCUACUGAAGCUACAAUUUCAGAGGAUGAGGUGUGGGUAGGGGUGAAAGGCCAAUCAAACUCGGCGAUAUCUGGUUCUCUCCGAAAUCUGUUUAGGCAGGAACUCAUAUCGACACUAUUGGGAGUAAAGCACUGAUUGGACAAGGGGUCCCAAAAGACUACCAAGUCCAGUCAAACUCAGAACACCAGUAGUCAAUGUAUGGGAUUCAGUAUGUGGGGGAUAAGCUCCACAGGCGAGAGGGAAACAACCCAGACUAUCAGCUAAGGUCUCUAAAUGUAUACUAAGUGAUAAAGGAUGUUUAAUUGCAAAAACAGCCAGGAUGUUGGCUUAGAAGCAGCCAUUCAUUUAAAGAGUGCGUAAUAGCUCACUGGUCGAGUGAUUCUGCACCAAAGAUGAUCGAGACUAAGUAUACUACCGAAGCUAUAGAUUUUUUCCCAUUUUGGGAAAAGAUGGUAGGAGAGCAUUCUGUAGGGUGAUGAAGGUGUACCGAAAGGUAUGCUGGAGCUAUCAGAAGAGAUUAUGCCGGCAUAAGUAGUGUAAAUCUCGGUGAGAAUCCGAGACACCGUAAGCCUAAGGUUUCCUGAGUAAAGCUAAUCUGCUCAGGGUUAGUCGGUCCCUAAGGUCAGGCCGAAAGGCGUAGCCGAUGGGAAAGCAGUUAAUAUUCUGCUACCCGAUAAACACAGUGAUGGGAUGACGCAGUAAUAAAGAGAAGUCUGGUGUUGGAAAUCCAGAUUUAAGCACGUAGACAGGAUUGGCAGGCAAAUCCACCAAUCUAUUGUCAAGGUGCGAAUACGAGCCGCAUUAAGCGGCGAAAGUUCUCUGAAAACUGCCAAGAAAUAGUCUCUAAACGUUAACUGUUUAUCGGACCGUACCACAAACCGACACAGGUAGGCGAGGACGAAUAUCCUAAGGUGAUCGAGAUAACUCUGGUUAAGGAACUCGGCAAAAUGGCCCCGUAACUUCGGAAGAAGGGGUGCCAUCGUAAGUGUAAGGUUUUACACCUGAAGCUAACGUUGGCCGCAGUAAAUUGGCCCAAGCGACUGUUUACCAAAAACACAGGUCUAUGCAAAGUAGUAAUACUAAGUAUAUAGACUGACACCUGCUCGGUGCCGGAAGGUUAAUUGGAUGGCUUAGUUCUGAUUCGUUCAGAGCAAAGGCUUGAAAUGAAGCCCCGGUAAACGGCGGCCGUAACUAUAACGGUCCUAAGGUAGCGAAAUUCCUUGUCGGGUAAGUUCCGACCUGCACGAAUGGUGUAACGACUUGGGCGCUCUCUCAACCAGAGACUCGGUGAAAUUGCAGUGGCGGUGAAGAUGCCGCCUACCCGCGAAAGGACGGAAAGACCCCGUGAACCUUUACUGCAGUUUGGCAUUGUAUUUUAGUAUCGUAUGUGCAGGAUAGGUGGGAGGCUUUGAACUUCCGACGCUAGUCGGAAUGGAGCCAACCUUGAAAUACCACCCUUAUGCUACUGAAGUACUAACGGAUACCUUUAUGAGGUAUUUGAACAGUGUCAGAUGGGCAGUUUGACUGGGGCGGUCGCCUCCCAAAUAGUAACGGAGGCGUACAAAGGUUCCCUCAGCGUGAGUGGCAACCACGCGUAGAGUAUAAAGGCAUAAGGGAGCCUGACUGUGAGACUGACAAGUCGAGCAGAUGCGAAAGCAGGUCUUAGUGAUCCUAUCUCUCCGUAUGGAAGGGAGAUAGCUCAACGGAUAAAAGGUACUCCGGGGAUAACAGGCUUAUAGCUUCCAAGAGUUCAUAUCGACGAAGCUGUUUGGCACCUCGAUGUCGGCUCAUCACAUCCUGGGGCUGAAGCAGGUCCCAAGGGUUCGGCUGUUCGCCGAUUAAAGUGGUACGCGAGCUGGGUUCAGAACGUCGUGAGACAGUUCGGUCCCUAUCCUUCGUGGGCAUUGGAUAUUUGAAGAGAGCCACAUUUAGUACGAGAGGACCAAUGUGGACAGACCUCUGGUGCACCGGUUGUGAUGCCAAUCGCAACGCCGGGUAGCUAUGUCUGGAACGGAUAACCGCUGAAAGCAUAUAAGCGGGAAGCCAACUCUAAGAUAAGAUAUCCUUGAGACACCUUGAAGACUACAAGGUUGAUAGGUUACAAGUGUAAGUCCAGUAAUGGAUUGAGCUGAGUAAUACUAAUUCGUCAAAGCCUUACAUCU
RNAcentral lists this ribosomal RNA (2943 nucleotides) under Candidatus Cloacimonadota bacterium. RNAcentral's name for it is "23S ribosomal RNA". It matches the Rfam family "Bacterial large subunit ribosomal RNA". The record is from RNAcentral. Lineage: Bacteria; Pseudomonadati; Candidatus Cloacimonadota.